UAGCAGGGAGGGUCGGGGUGUUAGCCGUACCCCAUUCCAGAAAUCGGCUUUACGCUGGGAUCAGUAACUGCUGGGUAAAUCUUUGGAUGGGAAGUUCCUACUUGCCUUGCGGAUAUGAUAUCACGCCGUGUCGGAUGGAUGUGAGCAGCAUGCUGCGCGAAGGUGAAGUCAUGACUGUAAAUCGUCGAAAUGGGUGAGGUCCGGGAGGGAGCAACCCUAAGGCGGCAUAUCCAUGCUAGCACGUCUACGUGUUUGAUCUUGUAGGGUUUGAGAUUGGGCAUUGCAUUUAAAGUGGUACCGGUAGGCUGCUA
Molecule: signal recognition particle RNA, 311 nt
Filed under: Thermoproteota archaeon
Lineage: Archaea; Thermoproteati; Thermoproteota
Description: signal recognition particle sRNA
Rfam family: Archaeal signal recognition particle RNA
Source: RNAcentral